Long non-coding RNA from Pantherophis guttatus, 11234 nucleotides. RefSeq lists it as uncharacterized. The record is from RefSeq and is a predicted model, not a curated record. NCBI's taxonomy places the organism in Eukaryota, Metazoa, Chordata, Lepidosauria, Squamata, Colubridae.
CAGGCAUCUGAGUGACCCAGGCCAGUUCCCUCUGAAAUAGGUGAGUUCUACUCCUAAAAGAUGCGAACAAGUUGAAUUAAUGAUGUUGGACCAACAACUAUAAGGACAAUUAUAUUCCUUCAUUAGGCGUUUUUCUACUUGUGCAAAAACCAAGACAGUGGAUGAGUGACGAUGGGCUGAUCACCAGGAACAGGUAACUUCUCCUCCUGCUAUACGGAUCACAGGAGUCUGAGUAACCGAGGCCAGUUCUCCAUGAAACGGUGAGUUCUACUCCUAAAAGAUGCGAACAAGUUGAAUUAAUGAUGUUGGACCAACAACUAUAAGGACAAUUAUUAUUCCUUCAUUAGGUGUUUUUCUGCUUGUGCAAAAACCAAGACAGUGGAUGCGUGACUGCGUGCUGAUCACCAGGAAAACAUGAGUUUUAAGCUUCCAGUGGAGACGACAGGGAGCCGAGUGGUCUUGUGUAGAGCGACAGGAAUAGGUAAAUUCUAAUCCUGUAAUGUGAAUGACAGACAUCUGAGGGACCUGGGCCAGUUCCCAUGAAAAGGUGAGUUCUACUCCUACAAGAUGUGAAUGAGUUGAAUUAAUGAUGUUGGACAAACAACCAAAAAAGGACAAUUUUUAUUCCUUCAUUAGGCAUUCUUCUUCUUCUGCAAAACCCAAUACAGUGGAUGAGUGACUGCGCGCUGAUCACCAGGAAAAGGUGAGUUUUAAGCUUCCAGUGGAGACGACAGGGAGACGAGUCGUCUUGUGUAGAGCCACAGGAAUAGGUAAGUUCUAAUCCUGUAAUGUGAAGUACAGGCAUCUGAGUGACCCAGGCCAGUUCCCCAUGAAAAGGUGAGUUCUACUCCUACAAGAUGCGAAUGAGUUGAAUGAAUGAUGUUGGACAAACAACCAAGAAAGGACAAUUUUUAUUCCUUCCUUAGGAAAGCUUCUACUUCUGCAAAAACUAAGACAAUGGAUGAGUGACUGUGUGCUGAUCACCAGAAAAAGGUGAGUUUUACGCCUGAAGUGGAGACAACAGGCAGACGAGUGGUCCGCAUAGAGUUCCAGGAACAGGUUAGUUCUCCUCCUGCAAUGUGAAUUUCAAGCGUCUGAGUGACCCAGGGCCAGUUCCCCAUGAAAAGGUGAGAUCUACUCCUGCAAGAUGGGAAUGAGUUGAAUUAAUGAUGUUGUACCAAUAACCAAGAAAGGACAAUUUUCAUUCCUUCAUUAGGAAAGCUUCUACUUCUGCAAAAACUAAGACAAUGGAUGAGUGACUGUGUGCUGAUCACCAGGAAAAGGUGAGUUUUACGCCUGAAGUGGAGCAACAGGCAGAUGAGUGGCCUUGAGUAGAGCGCCAGGAACAGGUAAGUUCACCUCCUGCAAUGUUAAUGACGGGCGUCUGAGUGACCUAGGCCAGUUUCCCAUGAAAAAGGUGAGUUGUACUCCUAAAAGAUGCGAAUGAGUUGAAUUAAUGAUGUUGGACCAACAACUUAGAAAGGACAAUUAUUAUUCCUUCAUUAGGUGUUUUUCUACUUCUGCAAAAACCAAGACGGUGGAUGAGUGACUGUGUGCUGAUCACCAGGAAAAGGUGAGUUUUUAGCUUUCAGUGAAGAAGACAGACAGACGAGUGGUCUUGUAUAGAGCGCCAGGAACAGGUAAGUUCUCCUCCUGCAAUGUGAAUGACAAGCAUCUGCGUGACCCAGGCCAGUUCCCCCAUGAAAAGGUGAGUUCUAGUCCUCAAGAUGUGAAUGAGUUGAAUUAAUGAUGUUGGACCAAUAACCAAGAAAGGACAAUUUUUAUUCCUUCAUUAGGCAUUUUUCUACUUCUGUAAAACAGUGGAUAAGUAAUUGUGGGCUGAUCACCAGGAAAAGGUGAGUUUUAAGCUUCCAGUGGAGACUACAGGCAGAUAGGUGGUCUUGUGUAGAGAGCCAGGAAUAGGUAAGUUCUCCUCCUGUAAUACUGAUGAGAGGCGUCUGAGUUAUUCAGGUGUUCUGCCCCAGCUCCGGAUUUCCGAGGAUAUUGACACACAUCAACGGUCUUUAUCUAAUUUAUUAAGUAGCAAGAAUAAACAAACCGGCAAAGGUUGUUAACCAGCCUAGAAAAUAAGAUAUGAUAAACCAAAAUAUUCUGAUAAUAACAUGAGUUGUUUCCAGCAAGAGCGCACUAGCUUCGUGUGACUUAAAUAGGCCAAGGGAGUGGCCAAUUAUCCACAAGCCCUACUCUCGAGUAGACCUCCUCCUCCUGAGUAGCCACUCCUGCCUUUUGGCAGCCCUGCAUGCUCGAGCAUUGAGGAGAGGCUCCUCCACUUCGCUCUCUCCACUUGAAGGAGCCUCUGGAGGUUCUGAAGGCCAUGGCUGAGUCCUUGCCUCUGGCACCACAUCCUCUUCAGCCUCCUCGCUGUCCGACGCGAGCGCCAGCUGCGCAGGCUGCUGGCGCAACCCCACACCAGCCUCUUCGUCGUCGGGAUCAGCCACGAUCCGCGCAGUCCGCUGGUGGGCCACAACACUAUCCUUCACCUCAGGGCCCUUCCCCCGAAUCUGUUGAUCUGGAUGUGGUCGGGAUGGGAACUGCUCGUGGAAGGCGCAAACCAGGUCCUGAGCAUGAACAGAGGUCGCAUCCUCCCAUGUAAAAUCCUCCGGCCCAUUACCCUUCCACUCGAUGAGGUAUUGAAACUGACCCUUCAACCACCAAGAGUCUUGAAUACUCGCUACCUCGUACUCUGGCGAUCCCUCCCUGUCAUGGGAAGCGGGUGGAGGAUGGUCCAGUUGACUGAGCAGACAAGUAGACCGUUCAGGAAUCAGGAGGGAUCGAUGAAACACUGGGUGGAUUGUCAAAGACCGAGGCAGGGUCAGGCGAUAGGCCAGAGGAUUGAUGACCGCCUCUACCAGGAAAGGUCCAAUGAACCGAUUUUCCAGUUUUCUCCCUGGCCAGUCUGAGGGGAGAUGCUUCGUUGACAACCACACGUGAUCCCCAACAGCCAACGGGGGUGUGGUUCACCGAGAGUGGUCUGCGACCCUUUUGUAAUCAUCCUUAGCCUUGUUGAGGUACUGCUUCAUCAGCUGAUUCAUGGCCUGGAGCUCCGCCAAGAAAUUAUCCGCUACUGGAACCGGGGAGUCCAGGGUUGUGAGCGGGAAGAAGUGCGGGUGAUAGUCCAGGUUGGCUAGGAAAGGGGUGGUCUUGGUGGAGGUGUGCUGGGAAUUAUUGAACGCAAACUCCGCGACUGCUAGGUACUCUGUCCAAUUUUCUUAUUGUUGAUUGACAAAGCAGCGCAGGUAUUGCUUUAAGAUCCCAAUGACCUUUUCAGUCCUGCCAUCAGUUUCGUUUUGAUGAGCCGACGAUAAGCAGAUCUUAACGUCCAGGGCCAACAUCACCCCUUUCCAGAACUGGGUGGAGAACUGAGUCCCUCUGUCCAACACUACCCGAUCCGGUAGUCCAUGGAGCCGGAAAACAUGCUGGAUGAACAUGUGAGCGGUGGCGCGAGCUGUCAGCAUUCCCCGGCAGGGUAAGAAGUGCGCCAUCUUCGUUAACAUGUCCACCACCACGAACACCAUCGUGAAACCCGAGGACGGGGGCAAGUCCAUGAGAAAGUCCAUCGAGAUGACACCCCAAGGUCUCUAGGGGGUCGGCAAAGGCUGAAGUCGUCCUGGGGGAGUGCCCAUGUCCGACAACGAAUGCAAGAGGUCACAUAGGAUUGCACAUCAUGAUGGAGACGAGGCCACCAGAAAGUCCGCAACACCAAAUUCAGAGUCUUGAACAAACCGAAAUGCCCCGCCGCAGGGUUGUCAUGGCACUGGGACAAAAUGAGACUAAGCGGCCCCGAUGAAACAUAAAGCCUCUCCCGAUACCUCAAGAGGUCAUCGGUAAACGUCCAGGGAGAGUUGGGUCCUACCUCCUGCUUCCGCCAGUCGACGAAGGCGUCCUGCCUCUGCGCCUCCCGGAUCUGACCCCGUAAAUUGACAGGUUCCUAGACGGCAGCGAACAACUCGACGGGAAGAAUCGUCCGAGGUGGAAGCGGGUCCUUGGUUUGGGCGUAGUCGGGCUUCCUGGAGAACGCAUCUGCCUGUUGAUUGUGCCCACUCGGGAUGUAGGUAACUUUAAAAUUAAAAUGGGUAAAGAAGAAGGACCACCGAAUCUGGCGUUGAUUGAGCUUCCGUGCGGUCUGCAGAAACUCCAGAUUCUUGUGGUCUGUCCGGACUUCCACCUGAUGUCGGGCCCCCUCGAGGUAGUGUCUCCAGGUCUCAAACGCGGUCUUGAUGGCCAGGAGCUCUUUUUCCCAGAUGGUAUAGUUGCGCUCGGAAGGAUUCAACUUCUGGGAGUAGUAAGCGCAUGGGAAAAGAGUUCCACCAUCCACGCGAGCCUGGAGUAACACCGCACUGACUGCAAUAUCCGACGCGUCUGUCUCGACCACAAAUGGACGCUGCGGGUCAGGAUGCUUGAGGAUUGGCUUGGACAUGAAGGCCUGCUUUAAGGUCAGGAACGCCUGCUGAUUAAGCAAUAUGAAUCAGAACUAUUCAGAUAACUGUUGGAGAGGUUAUGGGGAAAAAGGAACGUAUUUACAUAUGUGGUGGGAUUGUAAAUUUGUGCAACAAUUGUGGAAGAUGAUGUUUAAGGAGAUUGAAGAAAUUGUAGGAAUAAAGGUAGAAGAGGCACGAAAGGUAGCAUUACUCUCACUAUUGGAAGAUAUAAAGUGUAAAAAAGACUAAAGAGUUGAUAACAAAUUUGUUGACCGCAGCAAGGUUAAUGAUUUCUAGGAACUGGAAGAUAUGAGGUGAUUGUUGUUUGGAAGAAUGGUAUAAGGAAGUAUGGGAUAUUGCCAUAAAUGAUAAACUGACUUGUAAUAUUAAAGUAAGGAGGGGCAUAAUGAAAGUAAAUGAAUUCAAUGGAAUCUGGAAACAGUUCCUAAUAUAUGUGUUUUCGGGUGGAAGGGGGAUACCACCACCAGAAGAAGCUUUAAGAUUUUGGAAGCAGGAAUGAUCCCAAGGGGUGCAGGAGCACUUGUUGAUUGUUUGUAUUGUGUAUAUUGUUAUAUAUUAUAUUGUCGAGUCCUACCGGAGCUCGCCAUCAAUGGAGGGUGUGGGAGGAAAAGGAGUGGAGAUAAGCAGCCGCAGCGAACACACAAAUAGUUCCUGGAUAGCAGCAUUCAGGGUGAUGAUUGAUGACGUUGCUGGGCCUCUCCGAUUCUGCUGUCCUCGCUGCUCUGGUGCUCGCAGCUGUUACUGUUAAGGGAGUGGGGGGUGCUUGAUUGAUAAUCACCGGAUGUAUGUUUAAGGGGCUGAGUUUUUGUUAAAUAGCACUGUGGUGUGAUUACACCCAGCGCUGACUUUGAACCAAAACACCGACUUGUACUUUACUUUUGACUGCAAGCUUAUCAUUGCCAAAGUAAACCCUGAUUCUCUGUGCGUUACUGGUGAUUAUUUCCUAUCGCAGUUCUGAACGAACGACAAGCCGAGAUAUAUAUUAUGAUUUAUGUAUGUUAAUAAAAUCAAUAAAAAUUAUUUUUUUUUAAAAAAAGGAACGCUCGCUGCUCGGGUCGCCCCACAGGAAUGGGACUUUCUUUUGCAGGAGUCGGGUGAGGGGCGCGGUCAGAGUGGCGAAUCCGGGGAUGAAAGUCCGGUAAUAGUUGGCAAAGCCUAGGAGUCACUGAACAUCUUUCACCCGAUUGGGAGGUUGCCAACUUCUCAAUGCCUCGACCUUGCUCCGAUCCAUUGCGAUGCCCUCGGGAGAAAUGCGAUGGCCCAAGAGGUCGACUGGAGGAACUGGCACUUCUCCAGCUUGGCGUACAACUGGUGGUCAUGGUGGUCACAGAGCAAGACCAGACGGAAAUGUUGGAGAUGACUUUUCCUGAAUAUGGAGAAAAUCAGGAUGCCGUCGAGGUACACCACCACGAACUGGUCCAAAAGAUCCCAGAAAAUAUCGUUCAUAAAAUUCUGGAAGAUAGCGGGAACGUUGGUUAGUCCAAACGGAAUGACCGUAUAUUCAAAGUGGCCAUACCUGGUGCUGAACGCUGUCUUCCACUGAUCCCCUUCUCGGACCUGAACCAGAUUGUAGGCGCCAUGCAGGUCCAGCUUGGUAAACACGGUAGCCCUCUGGAGUCUCUCUAAAAGUUCAGGGAUCAAGGGUAGAGGGUACUGGUUCCGCACCAUAAUGGCAUUCAGUUUCCGGUAGUCACAGCACAGACGCAAGUCUCCAGUUUUCUUCUUGACGAAGAGGACCGGAGCAGACAAGGGCUGGAUAAAACUCCGGGCCAGGUUUUUGUCCACGAAUUCCCUUAAUGCCACCAGUUCAGGGUCUGACAUCGAGUACAACCUCCCCACAGGGAGCGGUGCAUCCGGGAUUAAGUCGAUGGGACAAUCGUACGGCCGGUGUGGGGGCAACUGGUCCGCCUCUUUUUCGCUAAAGACGUCCGCAAAGUCCAAAAGUUCGUCCGGCAAAGAGACCGCAAGUGGACCCUGCACCUGGCCUGUGCACACUUGGCGAGUAUGAUCCACACACUGCAGGCUCAGGAACGACAAGAAAUUCUGGGACCAAAGAACGUGUGGGUCAUGAAUCCGAAGCCAAGCCAGGCCCAAAAUUAAAGGGAAAUGCAGUCCGGAUGUGACGUAAAAUUGGAUCGCCUCCUCAUGCCUACCGAUGGUCAGGCACAUGGGCUAAGUGGCGGCCUUAAUUGGCCCGGACAGAAGCACCCGACCAUGGAUGGUCUCCAUGACCAUGGGAGGAUCCACGGGACACAGGGGAACAGCAAAGUGAGUGGCGAACGCCUCAUCCAAUUAAGUUGGUCGUCGCACCGGAGUCCCAUGAGCUGGGAUCCCUUGGGGGUUGUCGGCAAGGAAGAUCUUAGUGUUGAGAAUCAAAUGGCGAGGGGGUCCAGAGUCCACUUCUGCAGGGCGUGAGUCUGUGUUGGUACAUGCCCGACCCCAGGUCUCCCCUAGAUCGGGCUCCGCCCAUUUCCCGACAGGUUAAGCGGGGCUGUGGUAUGGGACCAGGAGCCGGCGGGCUAUGUCGCUUCUUGGCGCAAGAGGCAGUGAAGUGUCCAGGCUCCUCACAAUAUAAACACAACCCCCCUGCCCAGCAUCUGUCCUUCUCAGCUCUGGACAGGCGGGGUCUGGCUGCACCGAUCUCCAUGGGCUCCUCCCUUGGAGCUGGAGCUUCAGAUACAACUGGGCCACACAGGGUUCCGGAGGGGUACGACAUGAGGGCCGAUGCUGUAACCUCGCAUCGAUCCUGAGGCACAGGCGACACAGCUCGUUCAGAGUUGGAGGAAUGUCCACUCUGGCCAACUCGUCCUGCAACGCGUCUGACAAACCCUCAUGGAAGGCAUCCAUAUUUGCUGCCUCGUUCCAUGCUGAGUCCUGGCUUAUCAAACGGAACUCACUGAUGUGGCAGCUGGCCUUGCUUCAAGGCCUUCAGGCAUCUGGAGGAGGUUUGAGCUUUAAUACAGUCCUCAUACAUCAGCCGCAGGUGCUCACAAAACCCCCCAAAAUCAUUGAGCAACGGGCUGUUCUGAACCAACAAGGGCGGGGCCCAACAAGCUGCCGAGCCGGAUAGCAAGCUGAUAAUAAACCUGACUUUAUCUCUGUCCUGUGAAAAGUCCUCAGCUCGUAAGCUCAUAAACAGAUGGUAUUGUCCAAAGAAAGCUGGAAACAUUUCCACAUUACCAGCAAAUUUAUCAGGCACAGUUACUGAGCAGCUUCUCCGAGGAGGUGGAGCAGGCAGAGGAGGUGGCAGAGAAGAAGCCAUUUGGCUUUGAAGCUGAGCCAUCUGAGCAGCCAUCAAAGUUAACUGUUGCCGAAGCUACACAUUCUCUUCAUACAGCUCCUCCAUCGUCUUCAAAGCUGUGGUGUGUGUAUUUGUUGGCUGGAAACAAACUGUUCUGCCCCAGCUCCGGAUUUCCGAGGAUAUUGACACACACUAAUGGUCCUUAUCAAAUUUAUUAAGUAGCAAGAAUAAAGAAGACCGGCAAAGGUUGGCAAUCAGCCCUGAAAACAAGAUAUGAUAAGCCAAAUACUGUGAUAAUAAUACGAGUUGUUUCCAGCAAGAACGCACUAGCUGCGUGCAACUUAAAUAGACUAAAGGAGUGGCCAAUUAUCCACAAGCCCUACUCUCGAGUAGACCUCCUCCUCCUGAGUAGCCACUCCUGCCUUUUGGCAGCCCUGCAUACUCGAGCAUUGAGGAGAGGCUCCUCCACUUCACUCUCUCCACUUGAAGGAGCCUCUGGAGGUUCUGAAGGCCCUGGCUGAGCCUCUGCCUCUGGCAAACAUCCUCUUCAGCCUCCUCGCUGUCCAACGCGUGAGCCGGCAAGGCAGGCUGCUGGCGCAACCCUGCACCAGAUUCCUCGUCGUCAGGAUUAGCCACAAUCCGUGUAGGCUGCUGGCGGGCCACAACACCAGGCCAGUUCCACACAAAAAGGUGAGUUCUACUCCUACAAGAUGCGAACGAGUUGAAUUAAUGAUGUUGGACCAAUAACUAAGAAAGGACAAUUUUUAUUCCUUCAUUAGGCAUUCUUCCUCUACUUCUGCAAAACCCAUGACAGUGGAUGAGUGACUGUGGGCUGAUCACCAGGAAAAGGUGAGUUUUACGCCUACAGUGGAGACAACAGGGAGACGAGUGGUCUUGUGUAGAGCGCCAGGAACAGGAAAGUUCACCUCCUGCAAUGUGAAUUACAGGUGUCUGAGUGACCUAGGCCAGUUCCCCAUGAAAAGGUGAGUUCUCCUUUCGAGCCCUGCCGGGACUCAUCACAUAUUAGAGGGAUGCGGGAAGCACGUUCACCGAAAAUACCUACAAUGACACCCGGGAGGGUGGGAGGUGAUCUGUGUGGCGGAAGACAGUUUUGAGGCAUCGGGAGGCAGGAAAAGCUGAGUUUUACACGUACAGUGGAGACGACAGGCAGAUGAGUGGUCUUGCAUAGAGCGCCAGGAACAGGUAAGUUCUCCUCCUGCAAUGUGAAUGACAGGCGUUUGAGUGACCCAGGCCAGUUCCCCACGAAAAGGUGAGUUCUAAUCCUACAAGAUGCGAAUGAGUUGAAUUAAUGAUGUUGGAUCAAUAACUAAGAAAGGACAAUUUUUAUUCCUUCAUUAGGCAUUAUUCUUCUUUUUUUGCAAAACCCAUGACAGUGCAUGAGUGACUGUGGGCUGAUCACCAGGAAAAGGUGAGAUUUACGUCUACAGUGGAGAUGACAGGUAACUGAUUGAUCUUGGGUAGAGCGUCAGGAACAGGUAAGUUCUCUUCCUGCAAUGUGAAUGACAGGCGUCUGAGUGACCUAGGCCAGUUUCCCAAGAAAAGAUGAGUUCUACUCCUAAAAGAUGCAAACGAGUUGAAUUAAUGAUGUUGGACCAAUAACGAAGAAAGGACAAUUUUUAUUCCUUCAUUAGGCAUUCUUCUUCUACUUCUGGAAAUCCGAUGACAGUGGAUGAGUGACUGUGGGCUGAUCACCAGGACAAGGUGAGUUAUAUGCCUGCAGUGGAGACGACAGGCAGAUGAGUGGUCUUGCGUAGAGCGCCAGGAACAGGUAAGUUCUCCUCCUGCAAUGUGAAUGACAGGCGUUUGAGUGACCCAGGCCAGUUCCCCACGAAAAGGUGAGUUCUAAUCCUACAAGAUGCGAAUGAGUUGAAUUAAUGAUGUUGGAUCAAUAACUAAGAAAGGACAAUUUUUAUUCCUUCAUUAGGCGUUAUUCUUCUUUUUUUGCAAAACCCAUGACAGUGCAUGAGUGACUGUGGACUGAUCACCAGGAAAAGGUGAGAUUUACGUCUACAGUGGAGACGACAGGCAGAUGAGUGGUCUUGCGUAGAGCGCCAGGAACAGGAAAGUUUACCUCCUGCAAUGUGAAUGACAGGUGUCUGAGUGACCUAGGCCAGUUCCCCACGAAAAGGUGAGUUCUCCUUUCGAGCCCCUGCCAGGACUCAUCACAUAUUGGAGGGAUGCGGGAAGCACAUUCACCGAAAAUACCUACAAUGACACCCGGGAGGGUGGGAGGUGAUCUGUGUGGCGGAAGACAGUUUCGAGGCAUCGUGAGGCAGGAAAAGGUGAGUUUUACACGUACAGUGGAGACGACAGGCAGACGAGUGGUCUUGCAUAGAGCACCAGGAACAAGUAAGUCCACCUCCUGCAAUGUGAAUGACAGGCGUCUGAGUGACCUAGGCCAGUUCCCCACGAAAAGGUGAGUUCUACUCCUACAGGAUGCGAAUGAGUUGAAUUAAUGAUGUGGACCAAUAACGAAGAAAGGGCAAUUUUUAUUCCUUCAUUAGGCAUUCUUCUUCUAUUUCUGCAAAACCCAUGACAGUGGAUGACUGACUGUGGGCUGAUCACCAGGAAAUGGCAUUCUUCUUCUACUUCUGCAAAACCCAUGACUGGAUGAGUGACUGUGGGCUGAUCACCAAGGUGAUUGAUCUUGAGUAGAGCAUCAGGAACAGAACACAGGAGACACCCAGAGACCGAGAAAUACAAAGAACCGACAAACAGCUGAUGCACAUUGUGGCAGAGGAAACGGUGGCAGAGGAAGUGGCAGAGGAAGGCCCAAUGGAAGAGGAGGCGCAGGAUUGUAUUGACCAACCCAUGGUUAGACCCAAGGUUCCGCAGACAUGGAGUGCAGGGUGUGCAGACGAAGAUCAACAAAACCAGAGAGCGAGGACUGGACAGACAGCCACAGGAGAAUGGAGGCUCUCCGCUCCCGGUUUGAGGACGAGUCAUUCGCCAUGCAUGGGCGCUCCUGACUUGGUGACAUCUCCUUGAAGGGGCCCCACACGCAUUUGAGGUAUGGACAGAUCAGAAGAACCUGGAAGCCCUACAAACACCGAGGAGGUUGUUCCCAAAACAAGUAAGGUGGAACCAUGUUGGAGAGGAGCUGCCUGUCGAGCCCCUGCCAGGAUUCGUCACAUAUGGGAAGGAUGGGGAAAACGCGAUCACCAAAGAUACCUACAAUGACAACUGGGAUGGUGGGAAGUGAUCCGGGCAGCAGAAGACACUUGCAAGGCAUCGGGAGGCAAACAGCAGCAAUGGAAAGGCUUUGGGCUCCCCACAUGGCCUGUCAGCUUCUGAUGACAUCAUGGAACACAGGAGACACAUGGAGGGCGGGAACUACAAAGAACUGACAAACAGCUGAUGGGGGUUGGCUUUAGCUACCGGAUGGUGGUUUAAACAGGAAAUAAUGUAUAAAUAGCGCUGAAAGGCGGCUGCUCUCAGUGCUGACUUUGAACCUAUUACUCUACUUGUACUGUGAUUCAGCUGUGUUCAGUGAUUAAAAGCCUUGCAAACCA